AAUAGGGGAGCUUAUUGGAUAGGCUGAGAGGAAGUUGAGAACUUCGACCCAUAAACCUGAUUUGGAUAAUGCCAACGUAGGAACGUAUAAUA
RNAcentral lists this non-coding RNA (92 nucleotides) under uncultured Extibacter sp. Its description in RNAcentral is "TPP riboswitch (THI element)". The stretch from base 4 to 83 matches the Rfam family "TPP riboswitch aptamer (THI element)", at positions 11 to 88 of the family's 105-position model. Rfam says of the family: Vitamin B(1) in its active form thiamin pyrophosphate (TPP) is an essential coenzyme that is synthesised by coupling of pyrimidine and thiazole moieties in bacteria. The previously detected thiamin-regulatory element, thi box was extended, resulting in a new, highly conserved RNA secondary structure, the THI element, which is widely distributed in eubacteria and also occurs in some archaea. The record is from RNAcentral. Lineage: Bacteria; Bacillati; Bacillota; Clostridia; Lachnospirales; Lachnospiraceae.